AUUGAACGCUGGCGGCAGGCCUAACACAUGCAAGUCGAACGGUAGCACAGAGAGCUUGCUCUCGGGUGACGAGUGGCGGACGGGUGAGUAACGUCUGGGAAACUGCCCGAUGGAGGGGGAUAACUACUGGAAACGGUAGCUAAUACCGCAUAACGUCGCAAGACCAAAGUGGGGGACCUUCGGGCCUCACACCAUCGGAUGUGCCCAGAUGGGAUUAGCUAGUAGGCGGGGUAAUGGCUCACCUAGGCGACGAUCCCUAGCUGGUCUGAGAGGAGGACCAGCCACACUGGAACUGAGACACGGUCCAGACUCCUACGGGAGGCAGCAGUGGGGAAUAUUGCACAAUGGGCGCAAGCCUGAUGCAGCCAUGCCGCGUGUAUGAAGAAGGCCUUCGGGUUGUAAAGUACUUUCAGCGGGGAGGAAGGCGGUGAAGUUAAUAACUUCACCGAUUGACGUUACCCGCAGAAGAAGCACCGGCUAACUCCGUGCCAGCCGCCGCCGUAA
This 504-nucleotide ribosomal RNA is filed under the name uncultured bacterium. Its description in RNAcentral is "partial 16S ribosomal RNA". It matches the Rfam family "Bacterial small subunit ribosomal RNA", at positions 29 to 523 of the family's 1533-position model. The record is from RNAcentral.